RNAcentral lists this ribosomal RNA (700 nucleotides) under uncultured bacterium. RNAcentral's name for it is "bacterial SSU rRNA". It matches the Rfam family "Bacterial small subunit ribosomal RNA", at positions 57 to 748 of the family's 1533-position model. The record is from RNAcentral.
GCAGUCGACGGUAACAGGAAACAGCUUGCUGUUUCGCUGACGAGUGGCGGACGGGUGAGUAAUGUCUGGGAAACUGCCUGAUGGAGGGGGAUAACUACUGGAAACGGUAGCUAAUACCGCAUAACGUCGCAAGACCAAAGAGGGGGACCUUCGGGCCUCUUGCCAUCGGAUGUGCCCAGAUGGGAUUAGCUAGUAGGUGGGGUAACGGCUCACCUAGGCGACGAUCCCUAGCUGGUCUGAGAGGAUGACCAGCCACACUGGAACUGAGACACGGUCCAGACUCCUACGGGAGGCAGCAGUGGGGAAUAUUGCACAAUGGGCGCAAGCCUGAUGCAGCCAUGCCGCGUGUAUGAAGAAGGCCUUCGGGUUGUAAAGUACUUUCAGCGGGGAGGAAGGGAGUAAAGUUAAUACCUUUGCUCAUUGACGUUACCCGCAGAAGAAGCACCGGCUAACUCCGUGCCAGCAGCCGCGGUAAUACGGAGGGUGCAAGCGUUAAUCGGAAUUACUGGGCGUAAAGCGCACGCAGGCGGUUUGUUAAGUCAGAUGUGAAAUCCCCGGGCUCAACCUGGGAACUGCAUCUGAUACUGGCAAGCUUGAGUCUCGUAGAGGGGGGUAGAAUUCCAGGUGUAGCGGUGAAAUGCGUAGAGAUCUGGAGGAAUACCGGUGGCGAAGGCGGCCCCCUGGACGAAGACUGACGCUC